Long non-coding RNA from Pecten maximus, 2447 nucleotides. RefSeq lists it as uncharacterized. The record is from RefSeq and is a predicted model, not a curated record. Lineage: Eukaryota; Metazoa; Mollusca; Bivalvia; Pectinida; Pectinidae. The transcript has 2 exons.
UAUACACACAAUGUAUGGUGACACCUUCAUACAGAGGUAUGCACACUCUAUGGUGACACCCUCAUACAGAGGUAUACACACACUAUGUAUGGUGACACCUUCAUACAGAGGUAUACACACUCAAAGGUGACACCCUCAUACAGAGGUAUACACACACUAUGUAUGUUGACAACUUCAUACAGAGGUAUACACACACUAUGUAUGGUGACACCUUCAUACAGAGGUAUACACACUCUAUGUAUGGUGACACCUUCAUACAGAGGUAUACACACUCUAUGGUGACACCCUCAUACAGAGGUAUACACACACUAUGUAUGGUGACACCUUCAUACAGAGGUAUACACACUCAAAGGUGACACCCUCAUACAGAGGUAUACACACUCUAUGUAUGUUGACACACUCAUACAGAGGUAUACACACUCUAUGGUGACACCCUCAUACAGAGGUAUACACACACUAUGUAUGGUGACACCUUCAUACAGAGGUAUACACACUCUAAGGUGACACCCUCAUACAGAGGUAUACACACACUAUGUAUUGUGACACCUUCAUAGAGAGGUAUACACACUCUAUGGUUACACGUCACACAGAGGUAUACACACGGUGUGCAAUGAUGCUCCGGCCCUUCUUUUAUCCCCUUAAAUGUUGAUGAUAGGAAAGAACCUUGGACUUCGGCAAUGAAAUCCCCAUCGGGCCCUGCAAAUAUUCUGUACUUCUUAAGACUCCUGGAAGCUUUAAGUGGUAUUUUAACGAAACAAAAUGGUAACACUGACUGGAACCGCGCAUCAAUUAGCACAUUUUGUUACAACACCUUUUCUUCUGAUCCUUGUGCACGUUCCUGUUUAUUUAAGACAUGCCAUUGAAUAAUGGUGUUACUGAUGAAUAACUACAAACUAUACCAGUAAACCAAUGUUUUGUCUAUGUCCCUUGAUGUUUCUUCUGUGUAUAGCCAGAUGAACAUCCCCUUCAAUGUUGGGCUGUUCUCAAACAUCAGUUACUCCAGCAAUAAAGGUAUUUUCAGUACAGAAACAGAUCAAGGAGAUGUUGUAAUUUUUUAUAGUAGGCUUACACAAACAAAUCAGUCUAAAAAUAACCUGAAUAUGUUGACUGGAGGUUAAAAUCACUGUGAUCCUAGAAGCAAAUAAUGGAGACAAAGCUGCUUGUUAGUCUUUAAAAACAAAACCAAACAACAAAAUGAGCCAAAACAGUUCCUGUAUUCCACUUCAUAGAACAAUGAUACACAUAUGUAGAAAAUGAUAGUAAACCAUCACUUUAUUUCCUGAAAUAGUCACAUUGUACCUAAACAAAUUCACAAUUAACCGCCAAGCAGUUAAGUUGUAUUAUCUUUCAUUUAUACAAAAAUAUUUGUAAUCAAAACAUGGUAUGUGAUAAAAGUGUUGUUUGUACAUGCAUUAAGACAAAAAGAAGCAUUCGCCAAUGACUUAAUUAAUAAUUAUAGCACUUAAUUAUCGUGACCUACUUUUCAACAAUGUCAUAUUUUUCCGGUCAUUUUUUUCUAAUGAAUGUUUUGAAAUGGACCAUUACGUCAAAAUUAAGAUGACAAAACCAAAAAAUAUAUUUUAGUUUUUUAAUUAUGAUUAUGAAUUUGACCCCCACUUCACCCCUCCAUAACUACUGAAUGACUUUGAACUGACCUUAAUUUCAUGUCAUAUCUUGACCGCCUAACUUCAAGAAAUUAGUAAACAGAAAAUAAAAAAUAUCAGUCAUGGCCGCCAGAAGGCCCAAAUUGGCACUCCUCCUUUGAGAAAGAUCCAUCGAGUACUUUUUCAGAAAUAGUGGUAACAAGAAUUGUUUACGGACGGACGGACCACGGACGCAGGGCGAUUUGAAUAGGGCGAUCUGAUGAUGGUGGGCUAAUAAAUCUGUUGAACAUUUAAUGUAGACAAAAGAAUCAUCGAUCCAGAAGCCUAAAUUGAUCCUGUCAUAAAUUAAAAAGACUUCCAAAGCAUUUCUUUGAAACUUCUACUGCAAACCUAAUAACCAUUUCUUUUACUUAAAAGAAUCAAACUAAAUACCUUAAAUGUACAUACUUUUGCACAGUUUAACCUCAGUGCAAACUAAUGAAUUACAAACAAGAAUGAUUUAAUCAGCAGUCAACAUAGAACAAAUUUAUAUGUGGGUAUCAUGAGUUUGACAUGUCGUAAAACAGACUUAUUGUCAUGACAUCAAUUAGAACAAAGAAUGAUACAAAACUAGUAAUGGUAACUCAUCAUAACCAGCUAUAUAGUCUGAUUUAUUAGCACGGUACACUGAUCUGUUAAUCAGCACUGUUGUUAAAGGUGCUAAAAUAAAUCCAAAAUAAGUACACAGUAUAUAGAUCAAUCAACAAUUUAUUGUGUGGCUGCAAGACAGUAGAGCAUUUUAAGGCCAUACAAAGUUAAUUGCUUAUUUCUCAGGAAAAUUCCCUGCAUCACCAACUUUAUUAA